AGUGAACGCUGGCGGUAGGCCUAACACAUGCAAGUCGAACGGCAGCACAGUAAGAGCUUGCUCUUACGGGUGGCGAGUGGCGGACGGGUGAGGAAUACAUCGGAAUCUACUUUUUCGUGGGGGAUAACGUAGGGAAACUUACGCUAAUACCGCAUACGACCUACGGGUGAAAGCAGGGGAUCUUCGGACCUUGCGCGAUUGAAUGAGCCGAUGUCGGAUUAGCUAGUUGGCGGGGUAAAGGCCCACCAAGGCGACGAUCCGUAGCUGGUCUGAGAGGAUGAUCAGCCACACUGGAACUGAGACACGGUCCAGACUCCUACGGGAGGCAGCAGUGGGGAAUAUUGGACAAUGGGCGCAAGCCUGAUCCAGCCAUACCGCGUGGGUGAAGAAGGACUUCGGGUUGGAAAGCCCUUUUGUUGGGAAAGAAAAGCAGCAGGUUAAUACCCCGCUGUUCUGACGGUACCCAAAGAAUAAGCACCGGCUAACUUCGUG
Molecule: ribosomal RNA, 492 nt
Filed under: uncultured bacterium
Lineage: Bacteria
Description: partial 16S ribosomal RNA
Rfam family: Bacterial small subunit ribosomal RNA
Source: RNAcentral